CAGGGGAUCUGACGUCCUCUUCUGACCUCCAAGGGCACUGCACACACAACACAGGUAUACUUAUAUACAUGUAGGCAAUACACAAUAUAAAAAUAAUAAAAUAUUUAAUAAAGUAAUGUUUAAUAAAUUGGAUUUUUCCCUCUGAAAGAAAGAGGUUUUCUUUUUGGUAUGUCUAGGAAUCCCUUAGAAACAUAAGGGCUUGUUACUGUGCUUAGAGACUUUAAUUCUGCAAGUGGAAGCUCUGGCAUCUGUAUUUUAACAAACCCUCAAGGGAUUUUGGUAACAGGCCUGAGAAGGUCAUCAGAGGCAGGGGUGUAGCUCAGUGAUCCAGUACUCAGGUAGCAUGUGGGUGUAGCUCAGUGAUCCAGUACUCAGGUAGCAUAUGCGUAUAGCUCAGUGAUCCAGUACUCAGGUAGCAUGUGAGGAACCCUGCAUUCGUGUAUCCACACUACAAGAAAACAACAACAACAACAAAAACAAAAACAGGUAAUAGAGAAACGUUCCCUUGAAUAAAAGAUAAAACAUGAAGUCAGUUUUCACAUAGCCAAGUGUUCUCUAAGUGAGGGCUUCCCGUUGUACCAAAUUGUCUUUUCUUUUGAAAUACGUGCAAUUAUUUGACACUACUGUCUUGCCUUUCUUUGAAGGCGUCUGAAGCACUUUAUCAUGUGAGUCCUCUGGGGGUUCGGUUACCACUGCUGUCUACUUGUGUAGUGAACCGGGAGUACGGCAAGUUCAUGACUGAGGCAGACUGCUCAGUGCAGUAAUGGGUCCGGGGUCCAGGACACAUUGGGCUUAUGAUCCAUACUCAGACUUCUGGAAAGUUCUCCAUACCUCAUCCUUCAGUCACUAUCCAAAUUAAUAAAAUAAGUGACAUUUAAAAGCAAAAAGGGUGGGGGCAGCUAAGAGCUGGCUUGGCAGCUAAGAGUGCUUGCUCUUGCACAGAACCUACGUUCAGUUCCCAGCACCCAUGUCAGGCUUCUCACAGCUGCCUGUAACUCCAGCUCCAGGAGAUCCAACACCCUCUUCUGGCCCCCAUGGGCACUGCAUACAUGUGGCAUAUACACAGACACACAGACAUUCAUGUAAGAAAACCACAAAUCUUAAAUAGCAAUGAAUUUUUAAAAAGAAAAAAAACCUAUGUUUUGUAUUCAAAGUCCUGUUUUGGUCAAUAUUCUUGAUUAUUGUGUUCAAGAUACCCAUAACCUGGAAAGUUUGACUUUGACAUGUCUGCAUUCAUCAAUGAUGUAACUCCAUCCACUAACACCACCCAGUGUGUGUAUUACCCACUGUCUAGGGAAUGAGUUUCAAGUUACAAUAAAAAUAUCUUUGUUU
Nannospalax galili (Upper Galilee mountains blind mole rat) is the source of this 1332-nucleotide long non-coding RNA. RefSeq lists it as uncharacterized. NCBI's taxonomy places the organism in Eukaryota, Metazoa, Chordata, Mammalia, Rodentia, Spalacidae. The transcript is spliced from 2 exons. The record is from RefSeq and is a predicted model, not a curated record.